Xiphophorus hellerii (green swordtail) is the source of this 2334-nucleotide long non-coding RNA. RefSeq lists it as uncharacterized. The record is from RefSeq and is a predicted model, not a curated record. The transcript has 2 exons. NCBI's taxonomy places the organism in Eukaryota, Metazoa, Chordata, Actinopteri, Cyprinodontiformes, Poeciliidae.
AUGCAUGAGCAGGUUUUCAGUCGGUGCAGAACAACUGAUCUUUGAAGGCUGCAGGUGAAACAAAGUGCUUUGUUUUUCUUUUUCUUUCCUUUUUUUUUUUAACGAUAUUCAUUUUUACGUUGCUUCUAUUGCAUCUGCGACAGAGUUGAACUUCAAGACGUUUCAGGUGAGAGAACGCAGGGAUCUGCUGACCUCUGCAGCCUAUCGGCAAAGUUGCACCAGGAAAUGGAUUUCUUUGGUUUUCGCAUCACAAUGACCAAAACUAAAGUUGACGUCAGCCGAAGACGCGGUGAGAUUGAAAUGAUUAAUUGCGAAUUGGUUUACACUCGCCAUCAUUUCCCCUCGGUGUUAUCCAUAAAGCAGAGCGGUGACGCUGUGCGCCGGGUCCCCUCUGGUUGCUGCUCAUCUUUAAAAAAAAAAAAAAAAAAAACCGGUCACCACAAAUUGGAUUCAACAAAUCCGCCGCUUCCCUCUGAUCGAGUUACUCUGUUUAUUGCCUCUUAUGAGUUUCCUCCGUCAGCAUCCAGCGGGUGCAGGAGAACAACCGGCUCCAGGCGCAAAAAGCAGGGAUUUUCCUGCUGGCAUUGUCAGCCGAACACGUGACUCCCAGCUUGGUAGGAAGCAAGACAACACAAACACUUCUGCUGGAAGAUGACACGAGCAAGGGUUCCCAUGGCAACUGUGGGAAAGACUGGUGGUGUGAGGAUGGCACCGGAGCAUUGUUCUCAUCGGGAGUGCUCUGAAUCAUCUGUCAGUGAGCUGUUUGCUGCUGCUGCAGCCACGGAAGGGAGACUGUGUGUUUGUGGAGCUUGUUUGCUGUAGCGAACUGUGUGUGGGUGUGUGUGUGUGUGUGUGUGGGUGCGCGCGCGCGCAGGACACACAACGUUGCUGACUGCUGCCUGCACCUAUUGGCUUCCAGGAGACUCAGAAUACUAAAACAGCUCAGCAAAAGUUUUCAUUCUCCCUGAGGCUUUAUUUACAUUUUGUCUCGCUUAUAUUUUAUUGGGAAUUUAUCGGAUGAACCGACCAAAUGCAACCCAGCGUUUGUAUUCCCACUGCUAAGGAGCUCAUUGUAAAACCGCCAGCUUUGUUGAUCUAAACGUGACAUUUUUGCCCCCCCUUUUAAUAAGUGAAAUCAUUUGGAUAGAUUUUGUAACCAGCAGAUAUGAAAUCUUGACACAUGUAGCUUGGAUUAAGGUCUAGACUCCAGACACAGACACCAUGUAUAGCUCUGGCUGCAUGUGUAAAGUGUAACUAACCCCCAAAUCAACUUGUUUUUUUUUUUGUUUUGUUUUCUUUGGUUGUAGUUGUUUUGUUUUGUUUUCUUCAUAAACUCUAAAUAAGUUAUUUAGGCUUCUGUCUUUAUAUUUCUAUUCAAAUUUGGACAUUUUUGUGUGGGUUUGUUUAGUUCCACUUCAUUUUCGCCUGAGUCUGUCUCAGUGCUGCCCCCUUUGGUCACAAAUAACUGACCACGUUUUGUCACUUUCGUCUCCUACUCUCCAGUUUCCAUUAUUUGCUAUCAUUUCAACAUUAUGCUUUCUUUCAGUUAAUUUUUCUUCCUGUUAAAGAGGAUUGUUUUCCUCUCUACUGUUGCUACAUGCAUGUUCAAUAUGAGGAGCAGCUGUAAAGUCAAUGAUACAACGCAAGCAAUCUAUAGAAAUAAAACCGAACUGAACUGAAAUCAAUGGUGGCAAAACUUCACCUUGAAAACUAAACACACACAUUGAUAACCAUCUAGUCCAGAGGAUCUGGCUCGUAUUUGCAGACUUUUAGCUCACGCUCCCUUCCUGACAGCAGUGUGAUUUCCUAACAGCCUCUGACUUGAAGAGUUGCUUUAACCUGAAGGCAUGCAGGGCAUGAUGCGAAAACAAACACAGGCAACAGAGACUGACUGUAGCUGUGCCAGAUCAGCAGGACGGUGCUAAACCUCCCUCUGAUGGAAUCUCUGAGCAGAGGCUCACCGCUGCAGGCCUCUGUCAGCACUUCCACCCGCAGCUCAGCCAUUCAACUCAUUCUUUGCUGCACAGCCAGUUCCUCUGCCACUGCACCUGCUGAUAUGGAUUUUACUUACAUACUGUAUAUAACUUUGUUGAUGCAAUUUAAAGGGUGUCUACACGCUGGAGUACUAGGGGCAUGGUAGGUACAGGGAUAGAGGAAGAGUAAAUCUCUGACAAUAAAGAAAGUAGAAACUUUCCAGAAAAAAUAAGGACAUUUCUGAGUUGGAAAAGUUGACGGUUUGCUAGAAAAACUUCGGAAAUAUCAAGAUUACUCUCAGAAAUUCCCUGGAAACAGCAAGUAAAUUUUUGAGUUUGAAAAGUUAAAAUUUUGUUAGAA